RNAcentral lists this ribosomal RNA (388 nucleotides) under uncultured bacterium. Its description in RNAcentral is "bacterial SSU rRNA". It matches the Rfam family "Bacterial small subunit ribosomal RNA", at positions 28 to 417 of the family's 1533-position model. The record is from RNAcentral.
GACGAACGCUGGCGGCGUGCUUAACACAUGCAAGUCGAGCGGUAAGGCCCUUUCGGGGGUACGACGAGCGGCGAACGGGUGAGUAACACGUGGGUGGCCUGCCCUCAGCUCUGGGAUAAGCCUGGGAAACCGGGUCUAAUACUGGAUAUGACUCCAUGACGCAUGUUGUGGGGUGGAAAGCCUUGUGCGGCUGAGGAUGGGCCCGCGGCCUAUCAGCUUGUUGGUGGGGUGAGGCCUACCAAGGCGACGACGGGUAGCCGGCCUGAGAGGGCGACCGGCCACACUGGGACUGAGACACGGCCCAGACUCCUACGGGAGGCAGCAGUGGGGAAUCUUGCGCAAUGGGCGAAAGCCUGACGCAGCGACGCCGCGUGAGGGAUGACGGCCU